RNAcentral lists this ribosomal RNA (301 nucleotides) under uncultured bacterium. Its description in RNAcentral is "partial 16S ribosomal RNA". It matches the Rfam family "Bacterial small subunit ribosomal RNA", at positions 509 to 807 of the family's 1533-position model. The record is from RNAcentral.
CAGUCGCCGCGGUAAUACGUAGGUGGCAAGCGUUGUCCGGAAUUACUGGGCGUAAAGCGUGCGCAGGCGGUUUUGUAAGACAGGCGUGAAAUCCCCGGGCUCAACCUGGGAAUGGCGCUUGUGACUGCAAAGCUAGAGUGCGGCAGAGGGGGAUGGAAUUCCGCGUGUAGCAGUGAAAUGCGUAGAUAUGCGGAGGAACACCGAUGGCGAAGGCAAUCCCCUGGGCCUGCACUGACGCUCAUGCACGAAAGCGUGGGGAGCAAACAGGAUUAGAGACCCCCGUAGUCCCUGUCUCUUAUAC